Molecule: ribosomal RNA, 604 nt
Filed under: Ramaria araiospora var. araiospora
Lineage: Eukaryota; Fungi; Basidiomycota; Agaricomycetes; Gomphales; Gomphaceae
Description: eukaryotic LSU rRNA
Rfam family: Eukaryotic large subunit ribosomal RNA
Source: RNAcentral
CUAACAAGGAUUCCCCUAGUAACGGCGAGUGAAGCGGGAAGAGCUCAAAUUUGUAAUCUGGCGGUCUAUGGCCGUCCGAGUUGUAGUCUGGAGAAGCGUUUUCUGCGUCGGACCGUGUACAAGUCCCUUGGAACAGGGCGUCACAGAGGGUGAGAAUCCCGUCUUUGACACGGACUGCCGGCGCUUUGUGAUGCGCUCUCGAAGAGUCGAGUUGUUUGGGAAUGCAGCUCAAAACGGGUGGUAAAUUCCAUCUAAAGCUAAAUAUUGGCGAAAGACCGAUAGCGAACAAGUACCGUGAGGGAAAGAUGAAAAGCACUUUGGAAAGAGAGUUAAACAGUACGUGAAAUUGUUGAAAGGGAAACGCUUGAAGUCAGUCGCGUCUUCCGGGACUCAGCCUUGCGUUUCUCGCCUGGCGUACUUCCCGGGACGACGGGCCAGCAUCGGUUUCGACCGUCGGAAAAAGGCUUUGGGAAUGUGGCACCUUCGGGUGUGUUAUAGCCCUCGGUCGUAUACGACGGUUGGGAUCGAGGACCGCAGCACGCCUUUAUGGUCGGGGUUCGCCCACGUAACGUGCUUAGGAUGCUGGCGUAAUGGCUUUAAGCGA